RNAcentral lists this ribosomal RNA (342 nucleotides) under Pheidole nr. sensitiva MDS-2010. RNAcentral's name for it is "partial 16S large subunit ribosomal RNA". Lineage: Eukaryota; Metazoa; Arthropoda; Insecta; Hymenoptera; Formicidae. The record is from RNAcentral.
AAUAGUUUUUUAAAUGGAAACUGGGAUGAAUGAAGUGAUGAGAUUUAAACUGUCUUAAAUUGAAUUAAUGAAUUUAUUAAUUGAGUUAAAAUACUUAAAUGAGAGCAUGGGACGAGAAGACCCUAUAGAAUUUUAUAUAAAUUUAAUGAAAGGUUUAUAAUUGUAAUCAUUUGAUUUAUAUUUUAUUGGGAGGAUAGUUAAAUUAAAGUAACUUUAAUAAAUAAAAAUCCAUUAGUGUAUGAAUUAUAGUAUGAGAAUGAUAAAAAAGUUUUAGUAAAAUUAAUUACCUUAGGGAUAACAGCGUUAUAUUUUUAGAGAGAUCAUAUUAAUAAAAAUGUUUGC